UACGUAGGUGGCAAGCGUUGUCCGGAUUUACUGGGCGUAAAGAGCGCGCAGGCGGUGUGUCGCGUCGGCCGUGAAAACUUGCAGCUUAACUGUGGGCGUGCGGUCGAUACGGGCAUCACUGGAGUUCGGCAGGGGAGACUGGAAUUCCUGGUGUAGCGGUGAAAUGCGUAGAUAUCGAGAGGAACACCUGCGGCGAAGGCGGGUUGCUGGGCUGAUACUGACGCUGAGGCGCGAAAGCCAGGGGAGCGAACGGG
This 254-nucleotide ribosomal RNA is filed under the name uncultured bacterium. RNAcentral describes it as "partial 16S ribosomal RNA". It matches the Rfam family "Bacterial small subunit ribosomal RNA", at positions 524 to 776 of the family's 1533-position model. The record is from RNAcentral.